CACCGCGGUUAUACGAGGGGCCCAAGUUGACAGGGUUCGGCGUAAAGGGUGGUUAAUAAUAUUCCUUACUAAAGCUAAACUAUCUUCAAUGCUGUUAUACGUGCAUGAAGACGGGAGGCUCAUACACGAAAGUGGCUUUAAGAAUUAUGACCCCACGAAAUCUAGGGAA
This 169-nucleotide ribosomal RNA is filed under the name Eviota sp. MOH084. RNAcentral's name for it is "partial small subunit ribosomal RNA". Lineage: Eukaryota; Metazoa; Chordata; Actinopteri; Gobiiformes; Gobiidae. The record is from RNAcentral.